Long non-coding RNA from Melospiza melodia melodia, 4075 nucleotides. RefSeq lists it as uncharacterized. The transcript is spliced from 4 exons. Lineage: Eukaryota; Metazoa; Chordata; Aves; Passeriformes; Passerellidae. The record is from RefSeq and is a predicted model, not a curated record.
UUUUACAAUUCUUCAUCCCUCCUGCUCUUCCUUGUUUCCCUAUAAUGGAUUUUGAUUUAUUUGUUGAUGGGAUCAGACUUCUCUCCUCUGUAUCAUCAGGAGCCUUUACAAGUUUUCUGCUAAGGGAAGGGAUAGCAAGAUUUGCAUUAUGGGGCUUUUUUGUUAUCUUCCCUCCACUGCAACUGAGAUUUGAGAAACCAUGCAUGUGAGUGUCUGUCUGUGUAAGCAACGUGGUGAUGAUCACUUUGAUCAGCCCUGGUACCAGCACUGCCAGCCCUUUUCCCACUGCACACAGGAGCACAUCCCAUAAAUCCGGAGUGACUGCAGCCAGCCAUCUGCAAGGGAGCCAACAUUCAGCUGCAACGAGCAGGAUUCAGCAAAGGGAAAGAAGAUAAAACAAAGGAGACCACGGACCCAGCAUUGCCUCCAUUUCAGCCUCGAGUCUGUGGUGCUGCCUUGGUUCCAGAUGCCAUCAGGACAGUGACAGCACUUCAGCCUCUGACAGGAUGGGCUGAAAGAGCUGGAACCCCACUUGCUGCUGCAGAGAGGCAUCCACCAGAAGCUGACCUCCUUAUCUUGAAUUUCAUAUGUAAUGAGUAGCUAAAUCUGACACCAAAUUAUUUUAGGAAGAAAAUUCAAAGUCAAGCCAUUUCCUUUGAAAAAGCCAUUUGAAACCUUUGGGGAACAGAUAUGGAAACAUAAUUUAAAACUCAUUUCCCUACACAAGUGAUUGGGAUUAAUUUCAGUAAAUCGGGUGUUUACUAUGCACAGAACAUCUCCUCUCUCACCACAAGCCUUGGACACUUUGGACUACUCUUUCAUUGGACUACACUUUCAAAAGUGCUCCCUCAUUCUGCUUGUGUAAUUCAGAUUUGGUUUUAUCUGCAAGAAAACGCCUCUUCAGUUAGUGAGCCUGAGCCGGCUGUGGCUGAGGGAAAGUGCCUGGGUGGGCUGUGCCACAGGGAAGCAGCAGCAGCAGCACUGCAGUCCCAGCCCGAGCCAUGCCAGGGACAGGCACCUCCACUGGCCGUACCCAGGGGCUGGGGGAGAAGCCGUGCUGGCUGCCACCAGCUCUGCUGGAAAGCACUGCUUGCAUUUGUAAUGCAAAGCAGACAUGAUUUCAGCACCUGAUCUCUUCGACAACAAAGGCUGUAGAAGAUUAGAAAUACUUAGAUUUGCACUUCAUUAAAAAAUGUAGUUCCCUCUGUAAAAGGAAUUGGUUUUCUUAACUCAUUUGCCGAGCUUCUCUCUUGAGUGUAUUUGCAUUUGUGCCUUUAGUGUAUUCCGGUAGUUCUAUGAACUGUGGAUUUUUUUCCCCACCAAUUAGUUAAUCUGGGGCUAUUUUAUUGAAGUCUUUUUGGCAUUUAAAAUAUGUAGAUGACAACGUUAAUCCGAUUAAAGUUUACGUAAAGUUGAUAAUACAAAAUGUAAAAAGGCAGUGCAAGGUACAAUUAUUAACAUAAUUAUUUUCAUUAUCAAUACAAUUAUAUUUUUCAGUUGUUGAUUGCUUAACCUUUUAAUUUUUUUCUCCAUUUUUUUCAUUAGCUCUAAUCUACUGCAGUGAGAGGCAGUUCUCUGCUUCUUCAAGCAGUAUGAAGGUAGAAGUGGAUAGAACUAUUAGCAGAGGGAUAAAAGUCUUUUAUCUCUUUCUGUCUGGCUGAAUUCCAGUGAACUAAACUCAGCCAGCAGGACUGUUCAUUUUUCUAGGGGGAUGAGCAAUUGUGGUCUCAGUUUAUUUUCCAGUCCUGAAUGGUUUCACUGAAAAAUCAUGACAAUCUAUAGGCUUUUAGGUAUUAUCAGGAAAAAGAGCCAAAACAUACUAUUUCACCCCUGUAAGUGUCCCAGGAAUUAUUUUAAAGGCCCACUCUAUUCUGUUUCACUGGCAGGCAACCAGCGGCAUUUCAUCAGUGCAAUAGAGCAGCUCUUGCACCUGGGCAUGAUGGGCAGCAAAAUAAGUCAAUGCCUUAAGAACUGCAAAGUGAAAAUGGUGCAACAAACGAUGAGGAUGUGAUUUAAGACAGGCAUUCAGAGUAAAGAUGUAGGUUUAAUUUUAAUGAGAAAAAGAGGAAGAAGCUCAUGGGUGGUUUACAUAGGCUAAUUCUCAUGUGACACUGUUCUCCAAGGGAACUGAUUUGUUUUGACCUGAAACUUUCCUUUUUGUCCAUUCUAAAGGAGUGAUCAUGGAGACACUGUGAACUGGUGAAGUCUGAACUGAAGGAAACUGCUGGCUUUGAAGCCCACAAGCGCACAUGAGUUCCCACACCUACACUAAGCUACAGUUGGGACUAUCAGUGGAUGAUGUUUUUUCCUCUGGGAUUUUCAUGUUGCUUUGCAGGCAGCACUCACUUGAACUAAUGAAAGCAGAUGCUUCCAAACCUAAAUCUAUAUCCCUAAGGGUAGCAAUUCAAAGUUGAACUUCUUGAUGUAAAUUAAGGAAGACUUAAUUCAAAAGGCUUGUAUAUGUAAAAUGUUUCAUCCACAUCUAACCCUGGGAUUUCUUGAUUUCUCAGUUAAAGGAACAGUUUAAGAAACUAGAAUUCUGUUCUUACUAACACCAUGUCAGAACAAUGUGUUUUGUGGCAUCUUUUUCAUCCUGUGUAUUUGGUUUGAUCCUCUAUGAAAUGAGUCUGUAAUAAUAAAUUCAUUUUUGGGUUUAAUUAGAUUCUACAAAUCCUUCAAAAUUUCCAUUUAUUUAUGUUUGCAUGUGCAUGGUUCUUUGUCUUGCUUUGGUAAAGUGUCUCCUAAACUGCAUGAGGCUGCAGUUUGUGAAAUGCCUGGGGAGGUGGCUAUGUCAGUUGAAAUUAGGGUGAAUUGUGCAUGAAGCACGUAUUUUCCUCAUAGACAUGAUCUCAGCAUCAAUGAAUAAAAAAUAUUUGUGCAGGCUCUCCCAAUGGGAAGCAAGUGAAUGGAAAAUGAGAGCUGCUCUUAAUCUGUGUGAUACCUUAAGAAAGCACACAGGAACCAAUUGGGUCUUUCAGGCACAAUUAAGGGUUGCAGAGCUACCCUUAAAGAAAACCCAGUGUGCAGCUGUCAUUCAAAAACUCAGCUCCCAGGCUACCUGAAUGAAAGGCUGAGGUACAACACAGCAUUAGAGAAGCAAUGGAGGAGAAGACAGCCAUCAGAAAGGUUUAUUCUCUAAAUGAGCAGCAAAUGCCCAUUAAAUAUUAAAAUGAUGACCAUACAGAAUAGCAGAUUAAUGUACAGUUCUGAAACAUGAGUCGUGAUGCAGUGCUUAGCAUGUGUGCUGGAUAAAACCUUGGAGCCUUAUUUUUGCAUAGAUUAUUAAAGAUUGUAUUAAUUCCUCUAAUGCCUAGGAAGCUACUGUGACUGACUUCUUAUCCUAAAACAGUUGGCAGGAUCUAAAGUUGAAUCCUGACAAGACUACAGUAAGACCACCAUUGGGAGGUUUUUCAAUCCCUUUUCUGGCACACAGGACAGUUCCUGGCCUCUGCACGCAGCCAGUGUUGUACUCCUUGAUUCUGCCCUUCUGAGCAAAAGGAGCAUGGUCCAAGAUUCACACAUUUCUGAGCCUGGGAGCCCAUUCACCUCAUCCCAGGUAUUCCACAAAAUGUGGAUGUCCAGUGUGGCCAAGGAUAUAACACAUUCCGAGUGAAUUAUGAGAUGCUGUUAAACAACACUUUAGUUACAGAACUAAAGUGGGAGGUGAAAGGUGUCUAAUUAGUAAGAAAAGGAACAGAAGAAAGAACGAAGAGAUAACAAUAACGAGGCAAGGGAGGAAAAAGGUGCUUAGUGAUGCCCAUCAUGAAUACAAACACAUGAAAGCAACUCACAAAUAGGCAACCCCUAAUUGAGCUUUUUUUUUUUGGUGCCACUAUGUUAUUGUAAACAGCUGAAGGGAAAGCUUUUUGAAAGAAACAAGCAUGGAUUACAAGAGAAGAGGAAACAAUAUUCAUGAAGCAUUUAAUGAUCAUCAGGCUUCCUAAUGCAAUGCCUCAUCCCAAAUAUUAAAAAUGCUUUGAAGUCAGACAGCUGCUGUCUCUUCUUCCUCUCCAAAAAUGUGGUCUUCUAAAGAUAGCAUGUUAUCCAAAAGAAGCAUACUUCAAAAUUUUUAUAA